RNAcentral lists this ribosomal RNA (492 nucleotides) under uncultured bacterium. RNAcentral describes it as "bacterial SSU rRNA". It matches the Rfam family "Bacterial small subunit ribosomal RNA", at positions 899 to 1397 of the family's 1533-position model. The record is from RNAcentral.
ACUCAAAUGAAUAGACGGGGGCCCGCACAAGCAGUGGAUUAUGUGGUUUAAUUCGAAGCAACGCGAAGAACCUUACCAGGUCUUGACAUACCACGAGUAGCAUAGAGAUAUGUGAUGCCCUUCGGGGCGUGGAUACAGGUGGUGCAUGGUUGUCGUCAGCUCGUGUCGUGAGAUGUUGGGUUAAGUCCCGCAACGAGCGCAACCCUUACUAUUAGUUGCUACGCAAGAGCACUCUAAUGGGACUGCCGUUGACAAAACGGAGGAAGGUGGGGAUGAUGUCAAAUCAUCAUGCCCUUUAUGACCUGGGCUACACACGUAAUACAAUGGCGCUAUAACAGCGGGAAGCGACCAAGCGAUUGGAAGCGAAUCUCGAAAAAGCGUCUCAGUUCGGAUUGCAGGCUGCAACUCGCCUGCAUGAAGUCGGAAUUGCUAGUAAUCGCGGAUCAUCACGCCGCGGUGAAUACGUUCCCGGGCCUUGUACACACCGCCCGU